GGUGUAGUAUUCUUGAGGUUAUGACUGAGCUGCACUCAAUAGAAGGAGUUCAUAUUGGUGAUGAUUUUCAUGCGUAUGCUACUGAGUUCUUGGGUAUGAGAAGGAAUAGAGAAAUGUGGUUUAGUAUGGGUAGUCUUGAAAACAAGAUGAAAUGGUUGCAGAAAAUGUUUACACGGCGUGAGGUACCAUAGACGGGGAGAGAUCUGAAGAUGAUAAUCGGCCAGAAUUGUUCGGGACCUUAUUUCUAAUUUUAACAAUUCUCAUCUGACAUGAAGAGGUUGUGUGCAAGUUUUAUUUUUCGGUUAUGGGCAUUAAUAUUUGUUAUUUUCAUGCAAACAAAUUAUAUAUUAAAAUAUCAAAAAGUUGUAGUGUUAUUCGAUACGCGCUACGUAUUAUGAAUUGCAAUCCUGAAAGUUUCUAUGUAUUUGUAAUGUAAUAUGAUGUGGACAAUGCUUUUAUA
Molecule: long non-coding RNA, 460 nt
Organism: Populus euphratica (Euphrates poplar)
Lineage: Eukaryota; Viridiplantae; Streptophyta; Magnoliopsida; Malpighiales; Salicaceae
Exons: 2
Source: RefSeq, a predicted model, not a curated record